Molecule: small RNA, 26 nt
Filed under: Mus musculus (house mouse)
Lineage: Eukaryota; Metazoa; Chordata; Mammalia; Rodentia; Muridae
Description: oocyte_piRNA1352
Source: RNAcentral
UGGUUUGUGGCUAUUAGACUGGCUUC